This 726-nucleotide ribosomal RNA is filed under the name uncultured bacterium. RNAcentral describes it as "bacterial SSU rRNA". It matches the Rfam family "Bacterial small subunit ribosomal RNA", at positions 32 to 773 of the family's 1533-position model. The record is from RNAcentral.
AACGCUGGCGGCGUGCCUAAUACUUGCAAGUCGAACGGAACUACCUUCAGGUACUUUAAUGGCGAACGGGUGAGUAAUACGUAGGUAACCUCCCCUUUAGACCACGAUAGCCAUUGGGAAAGAUGGAUAAAACUGGAUAGGAUAUAGAGGAAGAAUCCACUGUAUUUAAAAGAAGAGAUCUGCUUAAGGAGGGGCCUGUGGCGCAUUAGCUAGUUGGUGGGGUAAUGGCCUACCAAGGCGAUGAUGCGUAGCCGGACUGAGAGGUUGAACGGCCACAAUGGAGCUGAGAACGGUCCAUACUCUUACGGGAGGCAGCAGUAGGGAAUUUUCGGCAAUGGGGGGAACCCUGACCGAGCAACGCCGCGUGAACGAAGAAGUUAUUCAUAAUGUAAAGUUCUUUUAACAGGGAAGAAAGAGAAAUUUGACGGUACACGAAGAAUAAGCUCUGGCUAACUACGUGCCAGCAGCCGCGGUAAUACGUAGGGAGCGAGCGUUAUCCGGAAUUAUUGGGCGUAAAGGGUGUGUAGAUGGUAUAGUAAGUAUUUUGUAAAAAUGAUGGGCUCAACCCAGUAGGGCAAAAGAUACUGCAAAGCUAGAGUAUGACAGAGGCAUGUGGAACUACAUGUGUAGCGGUAAAAUGCGUAAAUAUACUGUAAGAACACCAGUGGGGAAGGCGGCUUGUUGGGUCGAUACUGACUUUGAGGCAUGAAAGCGUGGCGAGCAAAC